This 575-nucleotide ribosomal RNA is filed under the name uncultured bacterium. RNAcentral describes it as "bacterial SSU rRNA". It matches the Rfam family "Bacterial small subunit ribosomal RNA", at positions 8 to 569 of the family's 1533-position model. The record is from RNAcentral.
AGAGUUUGAUUAUGGCUCAGGAUGAACGCUGGCGGCGUGCUUAACACAUGCAAGUCGAACGGGGUUAUCAUUUUUGAAGCGAUUAGCUUGCUAAGAGUGGAAAAGUUGAUAACUUAGUGGCGGACGGGUGAGUAACGCGUGGGUAACCUGCCUUACACAGGGGGAUAACACUUAGAAAUAGGUGCUAAUACCGCAUAAGCGCACAGUCCCGCAUGGGACAGAGUGAAAAACAUUAGUGGUGUAAGAUGGACCCGCGUCUGAUUAGCUGGUUGGCGGGGUAACGGCCCACCAAGGCGACGAUCAGUAGCCGGCCUGAGAGGGUGGACGGCCACAUUGGGACUGAGACACGGCCCAAACUCCUACGGGAGGCAGCAGUGGGGGAUAUUGGACAAUGGGGGAAACCCUGAUCCAGCGACGCCGCGUGAGUGAAGAAGUAUUUCGGUAUGUAAAGCUCUAUCAGCAGGGAAGAAAGAAAUGACGGUACCUGAGUAAGAAGCCCCGGCUAACUACGUGCCAGCAGCCGCGGUAAUACGUAGGGGGCAAGCGUUAUCCGGAAUUACUGGGUGUAAAGGGAG